Molecule: ribosomal RNA, 596 nt
Filed under: uncultured bacterium
Lineage: Bacteria
Description: bacterial SSU rRNA
Rfam family: Bacterial small subunit ribosomal RNA
Source: RNAcentral
ACUCAAAGGAAUAGACGGGGACCCGCACAAGCGGUGGAGCAUGUGGUUUAAUUCGAAGGUACGCGAAGAACCUUACCUAGACUUGAAAUCCUUAGAAUCCUGUAGAGAUACGGGAGUGCUUGUUUACAAGAGCUAAGUGACAGGUGCUGCACGGCUGUCGUCAGCUCGUGUCGUGAGAUGUUGGGUUAAGUCCCGCAACGAGCGCAACCCUCGUGAUUAGUUGCUAACAGUUCGGCUGAGCACUCUAAUCGGACUGCCUUCGUAAGGAGGAGGAAGGUGAGGACGACGUCAAGUCAUCAUGGCCCUUAUGUCUAGGGCUACACACGUGCUACAAUGGUUGGGACAAAGAGCAGCGAUACCGCGAGGUGGAGCAAAUCUUAAAACCCAAUCUCAGUUCGGAUUGGAGUCUGCAACUCGACUCCAUGAAGCUGGAAUCGCUAGUAAUCGUAGAUCAGCAAUGCUACGGUGAAUACGUUCCCGGGUCUUGUACUCACCGCCCGUCACACCAUGGGAGUUGAUUUCGCUCGAAGCCGGAAUACUAAAUUAGUUACCGUCCACAGCGGAAUUAGCGACUGGGGUGAAGUCGUAACAAGGUA